GCAGUCGAGCGGACAGAAGGGAGCUUGCUCCCGGAUGUUAGCGGCGGACGGGUGAGUAACACGUGGGUAACCUGCCUGUAAGACUGGGAUAACUCCGGGAAACCGGAGCUAAUACCGGAUAGUUCCUUGAACCGCAUGGUUCAAGGAUGAAAGACGGUUUCGGCUGUCACUUACAGAUGGACCCGCGGCGCAUUAGCUAGUUGGUGGGGUAAUGGCUCACCAAGGCGACGAUGCGUAGCCGACCUGAGAGGGUGAUCGGCCACACUGGGACUGAGACACGGCCCAGACUCCUACGGGAGGCAGCAGUAGGGAAUCUUCCGCAAUGGACGAAAGUCUGACGGAGCAACGCCGCGUGAGUGAUGAAGGUUUUCGGAUCGUAAAGCUCUGUUGUUAGGGAAGAACAAGUGCGAGAGUAACUGCUCGCACCUUGACGGUACCUAACCAGAAAGCCACGGCUAACUACGUGCCAGCAGCCGCGGUAAUACGUAGGUGGCAAGCGUUGUCCGGAAUUAUUGGGCGUAAAGGGCUCGCAGGCGGUUUCUUAAGUCUGAUGUGAAAGCCCCCGGCUCAACCGGGGAGGGUCAUUGGAAACUGGGAAACUUGAGUGCAGAAGAGGAGAGUGGAAUUCCACGUGUAGCGGUGAAAUGCGUAGAGAUGUGGAGGAACACCAGUGGCGAACGCGACUCUCUGGUCUGUAACUGACGCUGAGGAGCGAAAGCGUGGGGAGCGAACAGGAUUAGAUACCCUGGUAGUCCACGCCGUAAACGAUGAGUGCUAAGUGUUAGGGGUUUCCGCCCC
This 798-nucleotide ribosomal RNA is filed under the name Bacillus pumilus. RNAcentral's name for it is "bacterial SSU rRNA". It matches the Rfam family "Bacterial small subunit ribosomal RNA", at positions 57 to 839 of the family's 1533-position model. Lineage: Bacteria; Bacillati; Bacillota; Bacilli; Caryophanales; Bacillaceae. The record is from RNAcentral.